This 274-nucleotide ribosomal RNA is filed under the name uncultured bacterium. Its description in RNAcentral is "partial 16S ribosomal RNA". It matches the Rfam family "Bacterial small subunit ribosomal RNA", at positions 523 to 796 of the family's 1533-position model. The record is from RNAcentral.
AUACGGAGGGGGCUAGCGUUGUUCGGAAUUACUGGGCGUAAAGCGCGCGUAGGCGGCUUAUCAAGUUAGGCGUGAAAGGCCUGGGCUCAACCCGGGAACUGCGCUUAAUACUGGUAGACUUGAGUCCGGGAGAGGGUGGCGGAAUUCCCAGUGUAGAGGUGAAAUUCGUAGAUAUUGGGAAGAACACCAGUGGCGAAGGCGGCCACCUGGCCCGGUACUGACGCUGAGGUGCGAAAGCGUGGGGAGCAAACAGGAUUAGAUACCCCUGUAGUCC